RNAcentral lists this long non-coding RNA (826 nucleotides) under Spirodela polyrhiza (greater duckweed). RNAcentral describes it as "long non-coding RNA (SPOL_LNC000987)". Lineage: Eukaryota; Viridiplantae; Streptophyta; Magnoliopsida; Alismatales; Araceae. The record is from RNAcentral.
GAGAGAGAGAGAGAGAGAGAUGUAUCAGCUUAGAAAAAUGGUAGGGCUUGCACUUGUUAUUUAAAGUUUUAAUCAUCUCCACAUGGCAUAUAGCUCACAUUUCGCCUCAGAUUCUUAUCCCAGUUUUCAUAUUUUCCAGGGGAUUCCUUUUGAGGGAAAAAAAAAAGAAACAAGGAAGAGAAAAAGGGAAAUGCGGCAGAAGCUGAGGGUUUCCUCAUCAGUGUGAAUUAUGGGUUCCGCUUGAUUCGGCCCGCAGGACCUGUUGACCGGGUUUUGUCUUCCCACAAUGUGGUUUGAAGUCUCUGUCGGCGUUCUUUCAUCCACAAGAAACCCGAGGAGAUCUGGAUUAGGGUUCUUACCUAGUUCCCUCCCCCCCCCUCCUUCUUUCCUUCCUUCCUUUUUCCUUUCUUCUUUAAUUCAUCCUGCUGAGUCAAAAAUAGUUGUGUAGUUUUGUCGUCUUGGUCAGAGAAAAGAAGACCGGUUUUACUGUACCCUGGCUGGGCUUUUUCUCCCUUAACGUUAGUUGACGGACCAAUGUAUAGACCAGAUGCUCUCUCUCUCUCUCUCUCUCUCCCCUCUCUCUCUAAUGGUGCCUUUGUUGGAUUGGAUUUUGUACUCGGUGCCAGGUUGACAAUUUACUCAGACAGGCCCCUCCUUUACGUACCCAUCCAUGCCCUAUACAUGCAUAUUAAUAUUCUAUAUAUAUAUUUAUAUAUGUAGAGAGAGAGAAAGAGAGAGAGAGAGCAUAGAAUGGCCGAGGAGGAAGGACCCAGUUGCAGGCUGCAGAUACCCCUUCCUUCCCCGCUCUCGUUUCUUCGUACAAGGA